UCCUAUCUUUACCAAAUUUCAUAAUUCCCUAUCCCUUUGUAAACUUAUAACACAAGUCAAGUUUCAGCGAAAUCGGUGUAGGUUAACUAUUAUUCACCUGCCUCCAUAUAGUCGAAACACUGUGCGUAAUUGCUCCCGCUUAGAUAGCAUAACUUAAUGCUCAGCAAACAGUUUCUGGUUGGAAUCCGAAUACACUUGCAUGAAGCUGAUUUCCAUCUGGGGACGUCAGAAGGCAUCUCCACGAACUCACGGAUGAGAUCAUACAUAUGAAUGGAACUCAAUCACUGCACCCGACAGGCCCUAAGCGACAUCCAUAGAGAGUCGAUUACCACUUUCAAAGACCCUCGCUCCAUGAAUGUCUUUAUAACUGCACAGUCGUCAUGAAGAGAGCUUUAGCUGUCGCUGGAGACACGCGUAUCUCUGACAGAAUUACCGAACCAAUGGUAAAUAAUAAGAAAAUUUAGCUUCUGAAAUGGUCCGAACGGUCUAUGCGGAGAUUUUGAGUGAAAAUGAGACAACAAAUUUCACCAUAUUCUAUAAGGAUGCACCGGUUGGUCCUAAUGUCACUGAAUUCUCUUUCAAACUUAAGUGUAAAACAUCGUUUUUUUCGCUGAAAUUGUGGCUUUUACGGAGCACUAGAAAUAGCAAAGGCCAGUCAUUUGUAAAAAUGAACACCACCAACCAUGUAAUUUAUAAAAUAUGUACAUAUCUUUACUAAUGGAGACCGAGUUGCAAUUGUAUGGACACCAAGCCAGGAAACGAAAAAGCAGACAGUCUAGCGAAUGCGUUGAGUGGGGACAAUGUAAUGCAGGUAAAAUGCUCGGUCGACGAAGCACUUAGACAAACUAGGAAUCAGAUAAAGAAAAGUUGUUAUGAAUGCUCUAGAAAUAAGCCGAACCUAUUCACUGGCAUUUUCGAGAGGCGGACUAACAAGACAUGGUUCCAUAAAUGCACGUUGAGCGAAAACAAA
Long non-coding RNA from Rhagoletis zephyria (snowberry fruit fly), 970 nucleotides. RefSeq lists it as uncharacterized. NCBI's taxonomy places the organism in Eukaryota, Metazoa, Arthropoda, Insecta, Diptera, Tephritidae. The record is from RefSeq and is a predicted model, not a curated record.